Molecule: long non-coding RNA, 1383 nt
Filed under: Erythranthe guttata (spotted monkey flower)
Lineage: Eukaryota; Viridiplantae; Streptophyta; Magnoliopsida; Lamiales; Phrymaceae
Description: long non-coding RNA (EGUT_LNC000292)
Source: RNAcentral
CACCUUGUACAAUUUUACUUAUCCCAUAAAUAACUGUAAAGAUAAAAACACAAACGCAUUUAAGGUGCAACGGAAGAUACCAAUCAAGAACGAACCAAUUCUACUCACUGACAUGCAACAAUGUUUACAGUUAAUAACAACUAAAAUCUCACUAAUAUUUCCCUAAAAAUCUUUCACCGACACCGUUUCUGUUAAACUUACCUAAUAAAUAAACCAAAACGAGAGUCUAAUUCACCUCCCCACCAAUUGCUUUGUUGACACAAAUUUUAAGUUGUCGUUGCUCCGCCAAGUUCCCGCAUUAUAAAUAAAAUAAUCCCAAAAUGAAACACGUAGGAUUUUUUUUUUUUUUUUGCAAACAAGUCCUUCAACAAUAAUCCUGAAUUUGAAGAUCUCUAUGAAUGCACAUAUAUACAUAUAAUUAAACAAUAAAAUAAACUUGUAAACCUAACCUGGAAACAUAAAUUUUAGAUGUUUGAGGUCCAACUGUCGUACGCUCAUUGAUUUCCACGGAAUUGUGACCGCCGAACAAUUAAGCAGGAGUGUUGCUAUAAGAACUAUAGAGACGGAGAAUCAAAAAACUAGAACUUCAGAAAUUUCAAAAAAAUUGAAAAGGGAAGAGGAAUUUCUGCAAAACUGAAACAUAAUUGAGGGAAGAGAAAUCUCUGCAAAACUGAAACCUAAUUGAGGACUAUACCUCGAGCAAAGUAUGAAUCUUCGAGUGAAAAAAAAGAACAAAAAAUUCUUCUUCAUCAAUGAGAUGCGCCGAUUGGAACUAUACCUCGAGCAAACAUUACUUGAGCUGGAUGAUGCGAUACAAAAUGCAAAAUUGAAGUCAUUAUGUGUUUUCUCCGUCAUAUCAAACAUGCUGUCAAGAUUGUAAAGAUGGAAAAUGUAAUAGAGUCGGAAAAAUACUUACACGAAAAUGGGGGCAAUUGAGCAUGAAUUUUGUCUGUGUUGAAUAUUUCUUCAAAAUUUGUAAGCAACACUUGCAGAAGCAGCAUUUGCCCCAAAAAGAAGCUACUACAGAACGAAGUAUCAAAAUCAAAUCAUCAAAUACUAAAACCCUAAAAACAAAACCAAAAAACAACAAAAUUCACAAUUAGUGCUAUAUUAUUAUUAUUAAUUUUAUUCGAAUAGCAAUUUGGAUCAGAAAUCUCACAUGCUUUAAUUUGAUUAAUCGAGAGCACUUAUCCCAAAACAAAAACAAAUGAAAUCAAUGGAUGAAAGAGAAAACCAUUGGUUGUGAAUGUUUGCUUACGUUUGGUUCGGUCACUGUAAAGAAGAUGAAGGUUUUUCUUCGAGUGAAAAAGACGAACGAAAAAUUCUACUUCAUCGACGAGACGCGCCGAUUGGAACUAUACCUCGAGCAAACCAGUUCUAAUC